AGCGGACUGAUGUACUGGCCCUUAGUACAGCUAACCAACUUCAGCCUUGUUCCUGUUCAAUGGAGAACAGCUUACGCUGGAGUCUGUGGUUUUCUCUGGGCCACCUUCAUCUGUUUUUCCCAGCAGAGCGGUGACGGCACAUUCAAGUCAGCUUUCACCAUUUUAUAUACAAAGGGGACCAGUGCCACAGAAGGGUCCCCGGAGAAAUGA
Molecule: long non-coding RNA, 210 nt
Filed under: Homo sapiens (human)
Lineage: Eukaryota; Metazoa; Chordata; Mammalia; Primates; Hominidae
Description: non-protein coding lnc-SULT1A3-2:1
Source: RNAcentral